RNAcentral lists this ribosomal RNA (254 nucleotides) under uncultured bacterium. RNAcentral describes it as "partial 16S ribosomal RNA". It matches the Rfam family "Bacterial small subunit ribosomal RNA", at positions 524 to 776 of the family's 1533-position model. The record is from RNAcentral.
UACGUAGGUGGCAAGCGUUGUCCGGAUUUACUGGGCGUAAAGAGCUCGUAGGCGGCUCAGUAAGUCGGGUGUGAAACCCUCAGGCUCAACCUGGGGACGCCACUCGAUACUGCUGUGGCUAGAGUCCAGUAGGGGAGUGUGGAAUUCCCGGUGUAGCGGUGAAAUGCGCAGAUAUCGGGAGGAACAUCAGUGGCGAAAGCGACUUCCUGGACCAAUACUGACGCUCAUGUGCGAAAGCGUGGGGAGCAAACAGG